This 1317-nucleotide ribosomal RNA is filed under the name Triticum aestivum (bread wheat). RNAcentral describes it as "partial small subunit ribosomal RNA". Lineage: Eukaryota; Viridiplantae; Streptophyta; Magnoliopsida; Poales; Poaceae. The record is from RNAcentral.
CUUUUAGUGACUGGCGGGUGACGCACGGAAUAGAGUAGCGGUGAGGAGAGGAAGAAAAUAGGUCUAGCGGUUAAGGAGGCGAGUAGGAUUAGGUCGCGACCAGGAGAAGAAGAAGAGGUAGGUUAGAUCGGUUCUCGACGUGCACGCGCCCCGGCACCACCGACCGGUCGCGUCGUGGGGGAUUAGCCGCUACUUGGGUCUCCGGCGGUUCCGACCGUGGAACCUCGAGGAGACGGAGCAGGACUAGACCGGCAGCCGGGGCACGAGGCCUAGUCCGGUCUUCGGAACGGAUGCUGGACUAAGUCUGACGCAUCGGAAGCGGUGGACGCGGUAAGGGGUCUCCAAGCCGGCUAGGGCGCAGCGAGUAAGAGCGAAGAAGGAAACGAGCGCCGAGCGCAACUGACGCUCUCCGGUGUACGGAGCAGGUUGGUGUAGGAGAGUGACGGAACGAGGAGGUGGUGGUGAGGAGAGGGAAGAAGGAGGGGAGGGACGGUCGGUCCCGUGAGAGGGAGAGGGUGGAGGCAAGCGGCGUCCACUCACGCGCCGAUGCCCACAGACCGGUCGUCGUUGUCGACGCCGUCAAGGCGCGGGCCUCUUCGGCGCGCGACCCGCUACACCUCCUGCUGCUGGACGGCGAAGGAGUAAGCCCGCAGGAGGAGACGCGGCAGCUCUCUGCCGGUACCGGCGGGCUACGGGCUCGCGGCGGCCGGUUCCUAGGCGGCCGCAGGUCUGGGGGAGGUGCGGUAGGGGUAGAGCGGUCUCUGGAUGUGGUUCAGGGUAGGUCGCGGGCGCGGUGGGAAGCCCGGGGCGGGGCGUCGAGACGUCGGGCUCGCGAAGCCGGCGGAGCGUGGGCUUCGUCUCCUCUCCUCGAGGGAUGGUGCUCGGAGAGGUCGGGGCCGUUUGGUCGUCCGGCUGGGGCGGAGGAUCAGUGAAGGGAGGAAGGAAAAAAAGGCGGCCCUGCGUAGUGGGGAAGGAACCGAAGACGCCCUUCGGCCGCCGUUCGACGCCGGGCACGGGCCGCCACCUCUUCCGUUUACCUAUUCGCUCGCCACCACCACGGGCCACCACUUCGUCAAAUUAAUUCCUGGCACCCAUCUUAACAUUGUUUACGUCCCCAAAAAUACAUUUUUACUUCGCAAAAGAGUGUAUGGGUGAAUUUUAUCCUAACGCCUAACUUAAUGGUUUUGACUUCCCCGAAAAGACGUUUUCAAUAUAAAAUCAUAUCAUCUAUCUCUCCAUCUCUAGUCGUUUUAUCGGGCACUCAACAUUGCCCUCUUUUUUUUAGUUUGCUACGAUCAGACUAUUUGUACCGAUUUC